AUAACAACGCGCCAACAAAAAGUUGCAGAGGUGGCACACACAUUUCCUAUUCAGGAAUUAGAACCUCUAUCUCAUGAAGAUUGUUGGUCUUUACUCUCA
Molecule: microRNA precursor, 99 nt
Filed under: Medicago truncatula (barrel medic)
Lineage: Eukaryota; Viridiplantae; Streptophyta; Magnoliopsida; Fabales; Fabaceae
Description: miR5244 stem-loop (mtr-MIR5244)
Source: miRBase by way of RNAcentral